GAUGAACGCUGGCGGCGUGCCUAAUACAUGCAAGUCGAGCGAACGGACGAGAAGCUUGCUUCUCUGAUGUUAGCGGCGGACGGGUGAGUAACACGUGGAUAACCUACCUAUAAGACUGGGAUAACUUCGGGAAACCGGAGCUAAUACCGGAUAAUAUUUUGAACCGCAUGGUUCAAUAGUGAAAGACGGUCUUGCUGUCACUUAUAGAUGGAUCCGCGCUGCAUUAGCUAGUUGGUAAGGUAACGGCUUACCAAGGCAACGAUGCAUAGCCGACCUGAGAGGGUGAUCGGCCACACUGGAACUGAGACACGGUCCAGACUCCUACGGGAGGCGGCAGUAGGGAAUCUUCCGCAAUGGGCGAAAGCCUGACGGAGCAACGCCGCGUGAGUGAUGAAGGUCUUCGGAUCGUAAAACUCUGUUAUUAGGGAAGAACAUAUGUGUAAGUAACUGUGCACAUCUUGACGGUACCUAAUCAGAAAGCCACGGCUAACUACGUG
RNAcentral lists this ribosomal RNA (497 nucleotides) under uncultured bacterium. RNAcentral's name for it is "partial 16S ribosomal RNA". It matches the Rfam family "Bacterial small subunit ribosomal RNA", at positions 28 to 507 of the family's 1533-position model. The record is from RNAcentral.